Molecule: ribosomal RNA, 839 nt
Filed under: uncultured eukaryote
Lineage: Eukaryota
Description: SSU rRNA
Rfam family: Eukaryotic small subunit ribosomal RNA
Source: RNAcentral
GGACAGACGGGGACAUUCGUAUUGCGGCGCUAGAGGUGAAAUUCUUGGACCGUCGCAAGACGAACUAAGGCGAAAGCAUUUGUCAAGAAUGUUUUCAUUAAUCAAGAACGAAAGUUAGAGGUUCGAAGGCGAUCAGAUACCGCCCUAGUUCUAACCAUAAACGAUGCCAGCCAGCGAUUAGCCUGAGUUCCUUAAAUGACUCGGCUAGCAGCUUCCGGGAAACCAAAGCUUUUCGGUUCCGGGGGAAGUAUGGUUGCAAAGCUGAAACUUAAAGGAAUUGACGGAAGGGCACCACCAGGAGUGGAGCCUGCGGCUUAAUUUGACUCAACACGGGAAAACUUACCUGGUCAGGACACUGGAAGGAUUGACAGAUUGAGAGCUCUUUCUUGAUUCAAUGGGUGGUGGUGCAUGGCCGUUCUUAGUUGGUGGAGCGAUUUGUCUGGUUAAUUCCGAUAACGAACGAGACUCUAGCCUACUAAAUAGACUGCUCAACUUUAUAGCUGUAUCACCUUGCAGUUGCUUCGGUGGCUGUAAGGCUAUGGUGACGUUGGCAGUGCUUCUUAGAGGGACAGGCGGCGGUUCAGCCGCACGAAACAGAGCAAUAACAGGUCUGUGAUGCCCUUAGAUGUCCAGGGCCGCACGCGCGCUACACUGAAGUGAUCAGCGUGCAAUUAACGUUUCCUACUCCGUCAGGAGUGGGUAACCCGUUGAACCUUCUUCGUGAUUGGGAUAGGGGAUUGUAAUUAUUCCCCUUGAACGAGGAAUUCCCAGUAAGCGCAAGUCAUAAGCUUGCGUUGAUUACGUCCCUGCCCUUUGUACACACCGCCCGUCGCUACUAC